UUGAGUUAUUAGAAAACAUGCAUCUAUGAUGUGGAGGGAGGAACCAAAAAGAUGAGCGGUGCUAUAUCAUAGGAUUAAAAAUUUCUUCGGAUAAAUAGAUUAAUUGCCAGUAAAAGCAAUAGAUCAUAAACAACAGAUAGUUGUCUUGUCCCAUAUACAUCUGCCUGCUAAGGCCAUUAAAGUAACAGAUGUGGCCAACCAAAUACUUCAUUCUUCAGGCUGAAAACUGCUGGCUAUUGGAUGUUAGUGCAUAUUUG
This 257-nucleotide unclassified non-coding RNA is filed under the name Hevea brasiliensis (rubber tree). The record is from RNAcentral. Lineage: Eukaryota; Viridiplantae; Streptophyta; Magnoliopsida; Malpighiales; Euphorbiaceae.